UCAGCCGCCCGUACGGGGCUGACUGUUGGAGACGCGAGUUUCCAGCGUCUCCAUUCCAUGUUGCUUUACGGAGGAUAUGGCUAUGAGAA
This is a small RNA of 89 nucleotides. It matches the Rfam family "Repression of heat shock gene expression (ROSE) element". Rfam says of the family: This family represents a 5' UTR cis-regulatory element found in heat shock mRNAs and is known as the ROSE (repression of heat shock gene expression) element. The ROSE element is a negative regulator of heat shock gene expression.